This 14732-nucleotide long non-coding RNA is filed under the name Theobroma cacao (cacao). RNAcentral describes it as "long non-coding RNA (TCAC_LNC005656)". The record is from RNAcentral. Lineage: Eukaryota; Viridiplantae; Streptophyta; Magnoliopsida; Malvales; Malvaceae.
ACAGGUUUCACUCUCUACAUCACACUCAAUUUCGGACCAAUUACUCCCUUUUCUGUCCAUUCUAUGAUUAUGUCUAUGGCACCGUGGACAAGUCGACAGAUUCCUUGUAUGAAACCACGAUCAAAAGAGAGGCAGAGUCACCUGACGUGGUUCAUCUAACUCAUCUAACCACGCCAGACUCCAUCUACCAUCUGCCCCUUGGGUUCCCUUCAUUGUCCUCCAAGCCCCAAGCUUCCAAAUGGUACCUCCUGUUUAUGUGGCCUGUCACUCUCUGGUCUGUGCUCUUGACUUGGAUUUAUGGCCAUGCCUUUAUUUCAGAGAGGAACGCCUUUAAAAAACUCAAACUUCAAGCUUGGGUUGUUCCCAAGUACAAUAUGCAAGUAAGAAAUUAACAUGUUUCCAUCUUGGCGUCCGAUUCUUCAGAGUGUUACCUAAUUAUAAUUUAAUCUGCAUAUGUUUUUUUUUCCUGUAGUAUUUCUCAAAAUGGCAAAGAGAAACUAUCAGUAAAUUGAUUGGAGAAGCCAUUCAAGAUGCAGAUAAGAAGGGAGCUAAGGUGCUGAGUUUAGGCCUUCUGAAUCAGGUAUGUUUAAUUGUUAAUGCAGCCUUUAAAAUUUCACUGCCUACAUAUUUCUAAUUCAAAAAUUAUGUUUAAUUUAUUACAAACUUCUCAAGUUUACUGUAUGUAUAUAUAUAUAUAUAUAUGUAUAUAUAUAUAUAUAUGUAUAUAUAUAUAUGUGUACACGUGUGUGUGUGUAUGUGUGCAGCAUGAGGAGUUUAGCAGAAAUAUAGAGCUUUAUAUCAAAAGGCACCCUCAGCUUAAAAUCAAGGUUGUAGAUGGAAGCAGUUUAGCAGCAGCUAUUGUUCUAAACUGCAUUCCUAAAGAAACAACCCAAGUACUCCUUAAAGGCAGAAUUUCAAAGGAUGCUUGUCUCUUGGUUCAAGCUUUAUGCCAAAAGGGUAUCCAGGUAAACUUCAAAUAAUCCCUUGGAAAACUAUAGGAUCAUAGCAUUAAAUUAAGGGAUUUAAAGAGUUUAUACUUCAAUUUAUAAUGAGCAGGUGGUCACAUUGCAAGAGGAUGAUUACAAGAAGCUGCUAAAGUAUGAUAACAAGCUUGAAAGCAAUUUGGUUCUUUCAGCAAGAUAUGAUGUCAAGGUAAAAUCUCUUUGGUUUAUGAUUGUAUCUUCCUAUAUAAUGUUUACAUGCUGAUUGUUUUAAUCGUUGAUAUAUUUUUGCAGGUAUGGCUGGUGGGAGACGGACUGACUGAUAAAGAACAGUCCAAGGCACCAAAAGGAACAUUAUUCAUUCCAUUUUCCAUAUUCCCUCCAAAUCAAAUCCGCAAAGAUUGCUACUAUCAUACUACACCGGCUAUGGAGGCUCCCAAAUCUGUGGAGAACAUGCACUCUUGUGAGGUUGGUAAUUACUUAUUUGACCAAAAUUUUCUUAUCCAAGUGGAAUUUAAAAAAUUUGAUUCCCAAAGGAUGGGAUGUGCUUUGAAUACUGCAUUUGCACUUUUUUUCUUCAUUACUUGUAUCAUUGCACUACAGAGUCAAGAAAUGAAUUUGUGGGAGAUGAACUGAAUCAGUAUGGUCCAUGGAGACCAUUCUUUUUAUUUUAGUUGUAUAAUAUGUUAAAAAUUCAACAAAAAAUAAAUUGAAACAGGACUGGUUGCCGAGAAGGGUUAUGAGUGCAAGUCGUGUGGCUGGGAUAAUUCAUGCUUCAGAAGGCUGGGAAGUCAACGAGUGCGGUGGCACCACUUUCAGCAUUGACAAAGUUUGGGAGGCUAGUCUUGAGCAUGGAUUUCGCCCCUUGUCAAUCUCCACUUGAUCGAAACUCUAGGUUUCGGUAUUAGCCUAUGAGUAAUCAUAUAGUAAUAAUAAUGUAUGCAUAUGAAUUAUCAUCUUCGUUGUAUCUUGCGAUGUUCUGACAGGUUGACUUCCAUGUGAAUGGGAAUAAUUUGCCUUGUAUUUGCCUAGAUGUUUCUUUUCCUUUCUCUGGUAGACUGUAGGAUUUGGGUGCCUAAGAAUUGAUCAAAAUAUAAUUUGAAGUUUAACACUAAAAAUAACAAACAUACUAAGUACAUCUUCUGGAUAUGAUAUGUUAAAUAGAGGGUUCUUCACCAAGCAAAACUUGCCUGAACAUUGCUUCACAUGAUGCAUAAAAUAGAAAAAGAGGGCCACCAAAAGUCUAUGAGUGGCACUAUUAGAGAUGCAGCAGCUAACCUGCAAGCGAAUUUAAGGCCUGAAAAAGCAAAAGCCAUGAACAUGCCUAUGUGGUAUGUAUUUAAGGCAUGACCAGAUGGCAUAAGUCCCCAAGGAGAGCCCAAUCACGUAAAACUUUUGUCCUAGUUGAAACUGAUCAGCAAGUUCUUGGAUGUCAAGUGCCUCACCCUUCACCAUACUGUUUGGGUUUGAAUCACUCUCUCCAUAUCCAGCUCUGUCAUAUAUCAGAACGUAUACACCCAGUUCAUCCAUCACCUCCUACAUGCCAAAACCAGCUAUGACGAUCUGCAGCAUCUUUAUGACUAGUUCUAGCUAGACAUAGUUAUAUUAUAGCAAAUAUCAAACAUAUAUUCAACCCAUGCUUGUAAAAUUUUCUAAAAGCUUCGACUAAUUUUCAUAUAAGUGCAAUUAAGUGAUAGAAACUUGACCUGUAAAACAAUUGCAGAUUGGAAUUUGGAAAUCAUGUCCUUAGCCAUAAAUUAAUGUGGUCUAGCUAGAACGCGAAUUGAACUGGUUCGAUCAUGGUAUGUAUUUGUGUCAACUUUGCAUGCUUUCUUUGUUCCUACAAACUAACUAGGAACAAAAAGUCACAACUCACUAGACAAAACUGGGAGACCACUUGUCUAAUAGCCUGUGUAACAUCCCAUCCUUGGGAUGUUAAUUAAAAGAAAACGUUAUUUGAAAUUUAAGAAGAAUUGUGGUUAUUGAUGAUGAGAAAAGUCAUGUGGGAGUGGAGAAAUUAAAAUAGUAUUUUUAUAAUAAAAUAAUAUUAAAAUAAAGAUGAUGGCUGAAUAAAAGAAUAAAACAUUAUUGGCCGAUUUCAUGGAGUUAGAUUUAGCCCAAGUGGGAGAGAGAGAAAAAUUUUAAGGAAAUGUAGCAUGGUGGGGCCCACAUGUUAUUAUAAAAAAAUAAAGCAUAAAUGUGUAUUAAUAUAUUUAAAUAUUAUUGUGAUAUAUUGGUGAUAUACAAAAUGAAUAUUUUGCAAGUACAUGGGUAAAGGAACAAUAAUAGAAGAUAGAUAAAGCCAAAAGAAUGGUUGAAACAAAAUGUUGACGGGUAGAAUUUUUAAUUAGCAAAAAGUUAGAAGAUCAGAUUAUAAUAUAUGAAAAGUUUGAAAGAUUAAAUUAUAAAAGAGAAAAAGUUUGGAGGGUUAAACAGAGAAUAAAAAAAAGUUAGAGAACUUAUUGGCAAUUAAUCUAUCCUUAAAUUAUAUUAAAAACAAAUACGUAUGUAGAAGAUGUUAAGGAUUAAAUGGGCGGUCAACACAAAGUUGACCACCCAUGCANGAAAAAUAAUAGAAGACAGAUAAAGCCAAAAGAAUGGUCGAAACAAAAAGUUAACGGGUUGAAUUUUUAAUUAGCAAAAAGUUAGAAGAUCAGAUUAUAAUAUAUGAAAAGUUUGAAAGAUUAAAUUAUAAAAGAGAAAAAGUUUGGAGGGUUAAACAGAGAAUAAAAAAAAGUUAGAGAACUUAUUGGCAAUUAAUCUAUCCUUAAAUUAUAUUAAAAACAAAUACGUAUGUAGAAGAUGUUAAGGAUUAAAUGGGCGGUCAACACAAAGUUGACCACCCAUGCAACAACCAAAGGAGAAAGAAAUAAAAGGAACAAAAUUACACCAAUGAGGAGGGGGGACAAAGCAAUGUUGUCCUCCUAUGCAAAGGAAAUGAUUUGCAAAACAAAAAAAAAAAAAAAAAAAAAAACAGAGGAUUGAAUUGAAAGGAACUAAGCUUGGGGAAUCGCCCAUUCUUUGGAGCUUAGACAUUCUGCCCCCUCUUUUCCUGGAAAGCCCGAGAACUCCAAAGAAAUUCUCUCAAGAUUUUUUCUAUCGUUCCUACUUUCCAAAGAGAGCUAAAGAUACAAAAAAUCUAGCCACUCAAGCUUCCAUUAUCCUCAUUAUUUGAGUGAACCCGAGGGCUCCUAUGGAAAUCUUUCAAGUUGGUUUUAAAGGUGAUCCAUGUAAUAUAUAGUAGAGAUUCCUAUUGGUUCCUUGCAACCCGUGGCUACCUACUUAUUUUGAAGGGAUCAAGGCCCCACAAAUGGAAGCUAGGAGCUGGGAGUUUGAUGUGUAGGCAAGGAAAUUACGAGUUAAUCUUUAAAGAUUUAAGUUUAAGAAAUUUAUAGCUUUUGAACUCAUUGUGGCAGAUUUGGUGAUGUGGGUGAAGUAGUGUUGAAAAUCAAGAAUUUGGAUGAGUUAAGCUGUCAAUGAGGUAAGGUGCUAGAAACUAAUGGUUAAUUGCUCACCCAAAUUAGCUACGGUUUAUAAAAAAAAAAAAAAUUGAGCCUGUUCAAUUAAUUAAAUGUGCCUAGUUGUAAGGGAUUAUAAGAGGAAGAAGUUGCUGAAAAUGUUUCCAAACCGUGGCUUAGUACCAAAGGCAGAUUGGUGAAGUUCGAAGAUAAGGAAAUAAAUUGGAAUUUGAAAUUAGAUUACCAUUUUAACUGCUGGUCACAUGUAUAAGUAGAUAGUCUUAGAAAAUAUAUUAAGUAAAUAUAAAUUGUUGAUGACUAGGAGAUUGAUUGAGCUGGUGCUUAGUUUCUAAGCAAAGUUAGUGAAGAAGGAAUUAUAUUGAAAACUUUGACUAACCCGAGGCUUAAGCUUUGAUGGAUGUGGAAAAUUAAUAUAAAAAAAGCCAGAAUUAAUGAUUGAAAUUGAGGUUUAAGUUGUUAAUAUUCUGUUGACCAAAUAAGUAGAUGUAAAAGCAUCACAAAUUUUAUUAAUUGGUGAUGACAUGUUAUUGCUAGGAAUUGGAUUGAGCAAAUCUGAUCAUUGCUAGAGAAAAAAAAAGGGUCAAGAGGAUUUGGGCCCAAUUAUUAUCUCCAGAAUCUUGAAUUCUCUCUCAUUGAAUAAUAUAAUUUAGUCCUACACCAGGAAGAAGUAAUAUGGCAACAACGAGCAAAGAUAGACUAGUUCAAAUACGAAGAUGGUAAUAGCAAGUUUUAUCACGCCAUGGUGAAGAGUAAACAGAGGAGGAAACAGAUAAAUGCUUUUAAAAGAGAAGAUAACUCUUGGUGCUCAGAUCUUUUAGAACUUUAAGGCUAGUGGUUCAUUUCUUUAUGAAUUUAUACACAUAUGAUGGGGUUAGUGAAUCAUUACUGUCAUACACAUAUUGGAGAUUGGACCUUGAAAAAUCAUCAACUUUGGCCGAUUAUGAGUGACGAAAUUAAACAUGCUCUCUUUGAUAUGCAUCCCAACAAAAGCUCGAGAUAUGAUGGAUUUCUAGCAAGCUUCUUCAAUAAAAAUUGGAGACAUAUUGGUAAUGAUCUCAUUAAAUUUGUACAAGAUGCCUAUCUCAAAGGCUCCUUUGCACCAUCCUGAAACCAUACACUUAUUACUCUUAUUCCUAAAGUGGAAGGACCUGAGAAGAUUAACCAAUUUCACCCUAUAAGUUUGUGUUCAAUACCUCUGAACCUGCUUAGCAAAAUUCUUGUCGAUUGACUACGUCCAUUACUGAAUGAGCUUAUUAGUAACACACAGAGUAGUUUUAUACCAGGGUGUCAAGCAACUGAUAAUGUUAUUGUAGUGCAAGAAGUCAUUCACACAAUGCGGGGUAUGAAGCGAAGAUAAGAAGCUGUGGCUAUCAAAAUUGACCUUGAGAAGGCUUGUGACAGACUUAAAUGGUCCUUUCUUCAAGAUUUCCUAAUAGAGAUAGGCCUUCCUCCGCAAUGGAUCUCUUUAAUUUUGUAUAUUGUCUGGACUCUUUCUUUCUCUGUUAUAUGGAAUGGCAAACAGCCUCACAAAAUUCACUCUAGCUAGAGUAGGCCUAUGACAAACUUAAAUGGUCUUUUCUUCAAGAUUUCCUAGUAGAGAUAGGCCUUCCUCCGCAAUGGAUCUCUUUAAUUUGGUAUAUUGUCUAGACUCCUUCUUUCUCUGUUAUAUGGAAUGGUAAACAGUCUAAAAAAUUCACUCCAUCUAGAGGCAUUAGCUAACGAGACCCAUUAUCUCCUUACUUAUUUGUGCUAUGCUUGGAAAAACUAUCCUUGCUUAUAAAUGAAGAAGUUAAAUUGGGCAACUAGAAACCUCUAUCCCUAAUAAGAAAUGGUCCAACUUUUUCCCAUGUGUGCUUUGCAGAUGACAUCAUGUUAUUUGGAACUAGUACCAAGACCCAAUUGCAAGUUAUGAUGCGGAUCAUUCAUAAGUUUUGCUUAGUUUCAGGCCAGAAAGUGAGUCUUGAGAAAUCUAGAAUGCUUGUUUCUUCGAAUAUCAACCCCACUAGAGCUAAAGAGUUAAGUUGAACUGCUUGCAUCAACCUCACAAAAGAUUUUGGUAAAUACUUGAGGACCCCGAUGCUUCAUGGUAGGAUUAAAAGAACUACUUAUUCUUUUUUAUGCAGUAAAGUGAAGCGAAAGCUUGAAUAGUGGAAUAAUGAGUUUCUCUCUAUGGUGGGCAGAGUUUCAUUAGUACAAGCAACCACUAUCAUAAUGGCUUCAUAUGUUAUGCAAACCAACUUAAUCCCUACUCAUGUGGCUAAGGAAAUUGACAUGUUAAAUAGGAAUUUUAUUUGGGGACACUUAAGUGGUGAGAAGAAAAUUCAUGCUAUGAAUUGGAGCACUCUUUGUCUUCUUAAAGAACUGGGUGGCUUACAAAUUAGAGAGACCAGAAAAUUUAGUUUGGCUUGGCUUGCUAAGCUUGGUUGGCAAUUGUGGAAAGGAAAGGACUCCUUAUGGGUCAAAAUUUUGCAGAAGAAAUAUUUACGGAAUAGAGAUCUAUUUUCAGUCAAAGCAAAGUCAUCUGACUCUCACAUUUAGAGUAGUAUAUUAAAAAGGAGAGAGGUCAUUGCUAAGGGUUUGAGAAUGAUUGUGAACAAUGGGCUUAACACUAAAUUCUGGCUAGAUUUUUGGUUGCCUUGUGGCCUAUUAAUUGGCUUUGCUACACGAGAUUUGUCUUUAGCUGAAAUUGAUUUACUAGUAGCAUGCUUCUGUGAUGCUUAUGGAAACUGGGAUUUAGAUUUUCUUUCUGACUCCCUACCAGCAUAUGAAACCCAAAUGAUUGUAGUAUCUUUCAUCGACCCUAGCAACACUAAGAGUGACAUUAGUUUUUGGACUUUGACAAGCAGUGGCAAUUUUUCUAUCAAAACUGCUUAUGAAAGCCAAGUUAAAACAAAUCUCAUUAAAAUGGAACAAUGGCGUCAGGUAUGGAACCUUAGGAGCUGUAGGAAAGUCAAGAUGUUCAUAUGGCGUGUGUUGCAUGAAUCUCUCCUUGCAACAGAAUGGUUGAUGACGAGAAGUCUAGGCUCAUCAAGCUUUUGUAGCAGAUGCAGUAAUACUACAAAAAAUAUCAUACAUGCCUUGAGAGAUUGCUCCUCAUCUAGAGAUAUGUGGCUGAAAAUUAAACCAGAGUUGCUCUCAAGCACUUUCUUUGCAUUAGACUUGCAACAGUGGGUCUAAGAAAAUAUGACCAGUAAUGUGCUUUAUGAUACAUUGCCAUGGGGUGUUAUCUUCACUCACACACUUUGGAUGCUCUAGUAUUGGAGGAAUUUAAGUCUAUUCGAGGAAUCUUUUUAGUGGCUGGAAAAUGCAUCUCAACAGAUAUGGGCUAAAGCCAAGGAGGCUUGGGACAGUUUGCAUUGUCAACAAGCGAGAAUAAGGUCUGAAAUUCUUGUUUCCUGGGUCAAGCGAGAUCACCCCUAUGUGAAACUGAAAGUUGAUGGCAUUGUUAAAGGCCAACCAGGGGAUGCCGUAGCAAGAGGAUUAGUUAGGGAUGGGAAUGGCAAUUGGCUAUUUGGGUUUGUUUAUAAAAUUGGCAUCUCUUUCUCACUUGGAACAGAGCUUUGGGCAAUUUUAAAGGGGCUAGAAUUGUGUUGGGAAAAAGGUUUCAUAAAGGUUUUGAUAGAAACCGACUUUAAACUUGCCUUUCAGAGGCUAUCUUAGUAGAAGUUUCAUUUGGAUCCAUGUGCAAGUAUUGUGCAGAAUAUAAAGAUGCUUAUUUAGAGAGACUGGUCCUACUCCAUAUCUCAUGUGUUGCACGAAGCCAAUAGUUGCGCUGACUAGAAGGCAACUAAACAACAUGAUCUUCCCCUAGGCCUCCAUGCGUUUGAGGUUCCUCCACCAAAUAUCUUCUCUUUAUUGUUAGUUGAUAUAUUGGGCAUAUUUUGGCCCAGACUUAUGUAAUUUGAGCUUUACUGAAUAAAUGCCUCCCUUAUUUCAAAAAAAAAAAAUGAUACAGAUAUAUGUUUAGCAAACAGUGCUACAAUGCAUACUAUAUUUAAAGACAAAAAAUAUUUUUUGCACAUAACAAUGGAAGAAACCAAUAUUAAUACAAUAUCUAGUAGUAUAACCUCUUGACUAGCUAAUAUUUUACUACCGUAGGAAUAAAGUUUAAAAUAAAAGAUGUAUUAUUUUCUAUUAAGUCUCAAAGAAAUUUAUUAAGUUUUAAAGAAUGGAUAUUAUAUUGAGACAACAAAUAAAAGAGACAUUUAAUACCUCUAUAUUAUAUCAAUUAUCUUUGAUAAGAAGUGUGUAUUGAAAAAAUUACUUGUUAUGUUCUUUAGAUUAUACUAAACAAAUAUUAGAAUUAUUGAAACUCAUGCCAUAGUAAACAAGAAAUUCACUAAUAAUUUUAAUGUUUGGCAUGACCGGUUGGGCCACUUUGGAUCAACAAUGAUACGAAAAAUUAUUACAAAUUUUUGUGGUCAUUCAUGGAAAAAUCAGAAGAUUUUUUAAUAUAAUGAAUUCUUAUGUGUUGCUUGCUCUCAAGGAAAAUUAAUUAUAAGAUCAUCGGUAACUAAAGUUGGGAUUGAAUCCCCUACACUUUUGAAACGUAUUUAGGAUGAUAUAUGUGGAUCCAUACAUCCAUCAUGUGGACUAUUUAGAUAUUUUUAUGAUUUUAAUAAUGUAUCGACUAGAUGGUCAUAUGUAUGCUUAUUAUCAACUUGUAAUUUGACAUUUGUAAGAUUACUCGCUUAAAUCAUUAGUUUGUAAGUACAUUUUCUUGAUUACGCAAUCAAGACUAUUCGUCUUGACAGUGCUGAUAAAUUUACAUAUCAAGCCUUUAAUGAAUAUUGCAUAUUAGUCGGAAUAAAGGUUGAAUAACCUUUUGUUCAUGUUCAUACACAAAAUGGUCUAAUAAAAUCAUUUAUUAAACACUUUUAAUUGAUUGAAAGGCCAUUGCUUAUGAAAACCAAACUCUUCAUUUUUGCUUAGAGCAUGCCAUUUUGCAUAUAGUAGCACUUGUACACAUUAGGCCAACAAAUUAUCAUAAAUUUUCUGUUAUACAAUUAGUCUAUGGUUAUGAACCAAAUAUUUUCCUUCUAAGAAUUUUUUGAUGUAUGGUAUAUGUCAUAAUUGCUCCACCACAACGCACAAAAAUGGAUCCUCAAAUGAGAUUAGGAAUAUAUAUUGAAUACAAAUUUCUAUCUAUAAUUAUAUAUCUAGAAGUAUCAACAAGAGAUUUAUUUAUAACAAAGUUUACAGAAUAUUGUCAUUUUGAUGAAACAGUUUUUCCAACACUAAAAGGAGAAAAUAAGUAGUUGAAAAAAGAAAUUUCUUAGAAUGCAUUAUCCUUAUCUAGUUUUAAUCUUUGAACAAAUUAAUGUGAACUUGAAGUUCAAAAGAUAAUUCAUUUGCAAAAUAUAGUAAAUCAGUUACCAAACGUAUUUACUGACCUAAAGUGAAUUACUAAAUCUUAUAUACCAAUUGUAAAAGCUCUUAUUAGAAUUGAUGACCUUAUAAAACAAUGCACGCCAAAAGCGUGGAAAAUCAAUCAGUUUUGAAGAUAAAAUCCUUAAAAAAGAAAAAGAACAAAUAUACAAGAUGGUCAAAAAGAAGAAAUAGAAACUCUAAAAGAAACAUCUGAUAUAAUUGAUAAAAUUUCAAAAAAAUUCAAAUACUUAAAAUCAUCGAAAAUGAAGAGAUCUCAACAAAUUAUGUCAUUACGGGAAAAGAUGGAACCAAAAUGAAAUAAACAUCAAUGAUAUUUUUGCAUAUAAUGUAGUGCUCAACAUUAUAGAAGAAAAUGAGGAACUUGAAUCUACAUCUGUUGAAGAAUGUAGACAUAGAAAUGAUUGACCAAUGUGGAAAGACGCAAUUAAGGUGAAAUUGAAUUCAUUUGCAAAAUGUGAAGUUUUUGAACCUAUAAUCCGUACAUCAAACGAUGUAAAAUCAGUGAGAUAUAAAUGAGUAUUUGUGUGAAAACGAAAUAGAGAAAAAUGAGAUUGUGAGAACUAAAGCAUGGUUUGUUGCAUAAGGUUUUACCUAAAAAUUGGUAUUGAUUAUGAAGAGACAUAUUCUCCUGUAGUGGAUGUAAUUAUAUUUCGAUUUUAAUUAGUCUGACAAUACAUGAGAAGCUUGAAAUAUGUCUGACGGAUAUAGUUAUAGCCUAUUUAUAUAGCUCACUUGAUAACAAUAUUUUUAUGAAAAUCGUUGAAGGAUUUAAGUUGCCUGCAGUACAAAAUUUAAAUUCUUGAAAAAUUUAUUCGAUCAAAUUAAAUAAAUUUUUAUAUGGAUUAAAGUAAUUCGGACGCGUGUGGUAUGAUCGCUUUGUUGAAAGUAGGCUAUAAAAAUGAUUCUAUAUGACCAUGAGUUUUUAUAAAAAGAUUUGAAUGUGAAUUUGUGAUAAUUGCUAUUUAUGUUGAUGACUUAAACAUUAUUGGAAUUCUUGAAUAGUUAUCAAAAGCCGUGGAUUACUUAAAGAAAGAAUUUGAGAUAAAAGAUUUAUAAAAAAUAAAGUUUUGUUUAGGUCUUCAUAUUGUACACUUAGACAAAUAAAAUUUUUGUCCAUCAAUCAAAGUAUAUGGUAAAAGUGCUAAAACGAUUCUAUAUGAACAAAAGCACAUCCAUUGAGUUCACCAAUGGUUGUAAGGUCACUAGAUGUAAGAAAAGACUUUUUCUAACCUCAUGAGGAUGAUGAAAAGUUUCUAGGUUCUGAAGUAUCAUAUCUUAAUGUAAUUGAAACACUAAUGUAUCUGACUAGCAAUACAUUAUUUGAUAUAUCAUUUGUUGUAAAUUUAUUAGUAAUAUAUAAUUUUUCUCCAACUCGAAAAGAUUGAAAUGGAAUUAAACAUAUAUUUCGAUAUCUCUGAGGAACAAUGGAGGCAUAUUUUUUAUACAAUAGACAUUUAAGGGAGAGUGUUAUGAAUAUAUGUGUAAAUAUUCAUUAUGUUAUAACCUAAGAGUUUAGACUAGGUCAGGUCGCUCAAACAGACCAAACAACCCAACAAGCUAGACAUAAAAGUGUUAUAUGAUUUGAACUCUUAGAUUUGAUUAUAUAUAUCUAGAUUUAAAUGUAGAUUAAAUUGGAGUAAGAUUAAGAUUUAAUCCAUUCAAAUAUAAUCUUUUAAUAUUAUCGUUAUCUUAUAAAGGGUUAAUAUUAACCUAUAAAUAAGCCCUUUACUUCAUUUGUCAAUAUAUAUUUUCGAAUAAUAUCAUUUUAUUUUAUUAAUUUUUUUAAUAUUUAUUUUGUCAAAUUAUAUUUCACAACAUGAUAAUUAUAAUAGUAUUACAAUGCAAUACAUUUUGUUCUUGUAUGGUUUUGAAUAAAAUGAUACGUAUAAAUUUGAUUAUGCGUCGGAAAGAUAAACAUCCAUCAUUUUUCAUUUCUUGUUUCGUUGCUGCUUAGUUUUAGAUAAGGACGGAGCUAAACAUUUUUGUCUCCCUUCUGACAGCUAAAUGUUAUAAGAAAAGUAAUUCGCUUAAAACUUUUAAAUUUCUUCCGUUGUUAGUAUAUAAUUGACGAUGUUAACUAAUUUUUGGUAAAAAUAAUUCCUUUUUUUUUUUUCCAAAUUAGGCUUUUCAUUACAUAUGAAAUAAAAAGUUUCCUCAAUUAAUAGCGAUGACAGUAUUACAAUUCGAUACGUUUUGUUCUUGUGGGGAACUAAUACAGUAAUACACUAUGGUUUGAAUAAAAAAGAUAUGCACAAAUUAGGUUCUGCUUUAGAAGAUAAAGGUCAUUUCCUUUUUUUCAAGAUAUAUGAAAUCUCAAUAGAUUAUGGGUAAUAAAUAUUCUUUUCAAUCUUAUAAAUUUUUUCGUUCUUGUGUUGAGAUUCGAGAUUUUAGACUUAAUUAAAUUACAUUGGUCAUUUAAUUACCAAUUCUUUAUACAAUAAAUCUAUAAUCUCAUUGCUUAAACUAUUUCUAGUUUGCAACCGACUAUAUAUAUAUAUAUAUGUAUUAAGUGUUGAUAACCCGAUAUUUCAUACUACAAAGGGCGGUAAGAGUGGUGGAGAAACAUGGCUAGUAAGCCAGGCAUUCUCACCGAUUCGCCAUGGCAGUCUAUUGGGUACUUCAAGGUACUUCGUCUCCCUCUUUUCUUUGAGUCACAGUUAUGCACGUACCUACAUGCACUUUAUAUAUGUCAAUAUGCAUAAUAAUAUAUAAUCACACAGGUGUUUUUUACAAAUAAUCAGAUGAUUUGAGGGUUGUUAUUUUUUUACGAAAAUCAUAAAGUUAAGCUUUUGUUGCUUCUUUUUCUUACGUUGAUCUGCUUUAAAAACUUAUACUUCAUGUUUAAGCAAUUGCUCAUGGACUUGUAUCUAUCCUUUUGUUGUUGAAUCAAAUCCUUUCUUAGGCCUGUUUCAUUGUUUCUAAAGAGUUAUGAAAUAUGUCAAAGGAUGGGAAAUAGAGUACAAUGUGAAAGUUGAAGUGUCGACUUAUUGACUAAUGCAGAACUGAAACUUUCGGUAGAAAUGCUAUUUUCCGACAUUGAUUGUGAAUGAAUUUUGGCAGUAUGCUCUUCUGGUCCCUGGGGCUAUUUACAGCACAUACUCCUUCAUAACCACAGCAGAAAAUGAGAGGAACCUGUUCAUGUUCCUGGUCUUCCCAUUCCUCUUGUUUAGACUCGCUCACCACCAGCUAUGGAUUUCUGUCUCUCGCUACCGAACUGCCAAAGGAAACAACAGGAUUGUUGACAAGAGCCUCGACUUCGAGCAAGUUGACAGAGAAAGGAGCUGGUUAGCUCUCUCAGCUACCACCUUUUUUUUGCAGACUAUCAUUCUCUCUCUUCUUGCUUUCAAUUCUGGGAAAUCAUUCAAACUUCCUCUCAAAUUUUUUCAAGUAAUUUUUCAUUUAGGUAAAAGGUCAUCAACGGCUGUUCUAAGAGAUUCUUUUUGGAAGCCUCAGACCUAUAAAAUCCGUAUAUUAGCUUUCUACUCACGUUUGAUUUAUGUAAAUCUUACAGAUUCAGUCCAAUAGCUAGACCGUUGUAACUUGGCUGUUUCCCUCUUUGGCAUUUUCCUCCAUGCUGACUUUCAGUACACCGAGUCAUCCCAGUCAAAAUUAAAUAAAUUUAAAACUAAUGUUAUUGAUGACGUACAUUAAUAAGAAAUAAAGAAUGAAUUAUGUGCUUUCUUGGCGCAAGGUCCUUAACCCUGUAUUCUGAAUUGUGUUGGAUGUUUUGGCAGGGAUGAUCAGAUGGUAGUGAACGGAAUUUUGUUCUACGCGGCGGGCGUAGUAUUAAGAGAUCAGUUCAACAUGCCCUUCUUUAAGGCAGAUGGCACAAUAAUCACACUGUUACUUCACUGGGGUCCUUUAGAGUUCGUCUACUAUUGGCUUCACAGGGCAUUGCACCACCAUUACCUCUACGCUUGUUACCACUCCCAUCACCAAUCUUCCAUUGUCACCGAGCCCAACACCUGUAAGCCAAUUAACCAUUCAUAUGCCUACAAUUUGGAUAAAAACAUCAUUUAAUUUUUGAAGAUCAGACUGUCAGGAUAAGAUGUACCGUAUUUCAUAAAAGUCAUAUAUUUGAGAUUUAUAUUUGUAACGAUUUUGAAUUUUUAAUGUAAGAGGUGCUAAUUUGUCUUAAUUUCAAAGUAUUGAGGUAGAAAUAAAAAUAAAAUUUUUUGACUUCCUUAGGUUACCCUUCUAAUGUAUGCAAAUAUUUUUGUUUGGCAGCAUUUGUGCACCCAUUCGCAGAAGUACUUUCCUAUUAUGUGCUCUUUCUGAUACCAAUAUCGACAUCGAUAUACAUCGGAAAAGCUUCCAUCAUCGGAGUGUUUACUUACUUUACUGUUAUUGAUUUCUUGAACAACAUGGGACACUGCAACUUUGAGUUCAUCCCGGAAUGGGCCUUCACCAUUUUCCCUCCUCUCAAGUACAUUGUGUACACCCCAUCGUAAGUCUCUUGCUUUACUCCUUUCUUCUCUAGUACAGAAGUACCUAGUUUUCUCCUUACAAAUUUGUUUAUAAACAAAAUCCAAGUAAAAUUCAUGAAUUUUGUCUAUUACGAGGAAAGAUAAAACGAAACAUACAAUAUCUAGAUUAAUUAAUGUUUGUUUAUAUGUACUUAGGUAUAUAUGUGGGUAAAUUUCUAAUCAUCAUUCUAUUUUAUGACAGGUUUCACUCUCUACAUCACACUCAAUUUCGGACCAAUUACUCCCUAUACUGUCCAUUCUAUGAUUAUGUCUAUGGCACCGUGGACAAGUCGACAGAUACUUUGUAUGAAACCACGAUCAAGAGAGAGGCAGAGUCACCUGACGUGGUUCAUCUAACUCAUCUAACCACGCCAGACUCCAUCUACCAUCUGCCUCUUGGGUUCCCUUCAUUGUCCUCCAAGCCCCAAGCUUCCAAAUGGUACCUCCUGUUUAUG